AUACGGAGGGGGUUAGCGUUGUUCGGAAUUACUGGGCGUAAAGCGCACGUAGGCGGACUGGAAAGUUGGGGGUGAAAUCCCGGGGCUCAACCCCGGAACUGCCUCCAAAACUUCCAAUCUAGAGAUCGUGAGAGGUGAGUGGAAUUCCAAGUGUAGAGGUGAAAUUCGUAGAUAUUUGGAGGAACACCAGUGGCGAAGGCGGCUCACUGGCUCGAUACUGACGCUGAGGUGCGAAAGCGUGGGGAGCAAACAGAAUUAGAAACCCGAGUAGUCC
RNAcentral lists this ribosomal RNA (274 nucleotides) under uncultured bacterium. RNAcentral describes it as "partial 16S ribosomal RNA". It matches the Rfam family "Bacterial small subunit ribosomal RNA", at positions 523 to 796 of the family's 1533-position model. The record is from RNAcentral.